Molecule: long non-coding RNA, 684 nt
Filed under: Homo sapiens (human)
Lineage: Eukaryota; Metazoa; Chordata; Mammalia; Primates; Hominidae
Description: HSALNT0236797
Source: RNAcentral
CAUGUUGGCCAGGCUGGUCUUGAAACUCCUGACCUCAAGUGAUCUUCCUGCCUCGGCCUCCCAAAGUGCUGGGAUUACAGGUGUGAGCCACCACGUCUGGCCCUCUUGUCACACUCUCUUGAUUUAAGAUUGUUUCUCCUAAGGCAGAGGUUCUCUGAGACCCAUGAAAAGGUUUCAGGGAAAUCCAGGAACCCCCUGAAAAUCCGUACAAAAUUGUGUCAUUGUAUGUGCAGUUUUCUGGUGAGUAGACCCAGAGCUUUCAUCACAUUUCCAAAGGGUCUGUGCCCUUCACCCUCACCUGCCAAUAAGAUGAAGAAAUAAUACCAGUCCCUAAGGAGGCAGAUGGCUCACCCUCCCCCUUCCCUCAUGCAGCUGAAAAGGAACUAGAGCUGGACCUCAACUUCCAGCAACCUUAAGAACAGGCAUCAGAGGCCAAGAAUGAACUUGCUAUACAGUAAUCCCAGCACUUUGGGAGACCGAGGCGGGCAGAUCACCUGAGGUCAGGUGAUGGAGACCAUCCUGACCAACAUGGUGAAAUCCCGUCUCUACUAAAAAUACAAAAAUUAGCUAGGCAUGGUGGUGCACGCCUGUAAUCCCAGCUACUUGGGAGGCUGAGGCAGGAGAAUCACUUGAACCCAGGAAGCAGAGGUUGCAGUGAGCCGAGAUCGUGCCACUGCACUCCAG